Molecule: ribosomal RNA, 464 nt
Filed under: uncultured bacterium
Lineage: Bacteria
Description: partial 16S ribosomal RNA
Rfam family: Bacterial small subunit ribosomal RNA
Source: RNAcentral
CUACGGGAGGCACCAGUGGGGAAUAUUGCACAAUGGGCGCAAGCCUGAUGCAGCCAUGCCGCGUGUAUGAAGAAGGCCUUCGGGUUGUAAAGUACUUUCAGCGGGGAGGAAGGGAGUAAAGUUAAUACCUUUGCUCAUUGACGUUACCCGCAGAAGAAGCACCGGCUAACUCCGUGCCAGCAGCCGCGGUAAUGCGGAGGGUGCAAGCGUUAAUCGGAAUUACUGGGCGUAAAGCGCACGCAGGCGGUUUGUUAAGUCAGAUGUGAAAUCCCCGGGCUCAACCUGGGAACUGCAUCUGAUACUGGCAAGCUUGAGUCUCGUAGAGGGGGGUAGAAUUCCAGGUGUAGCGGUGAAAUGCGUAGAGAUCUGGAGGAAUACCGGUGGCGAAGGCGGCCCCCUGGACGGAGACUGACGCUCAGGUGCGAAAGCGUGGGGAGCAAACAGGAUUAGAUACCCUUGUAGUC